This 424-nucleotide ribosomal RNA is filed under the name uncultured bacterium. Its description in RNAcentral is "bacterial SSU rRNA". It matches the Rfam family "Bacterial small subunit ribosomal RNA", at positions 202 to 622 of the family's 1533-position model. The record is from RNAcentral.
AAGACCUUUGCACUUUUGGAGCGGCCGAUGUCUGAUUAGCUAGUUGGUGGGGUAAUGGCCUACCAAAGCGUCGAUCAGUAGCUGGUCUGAGAGGACGGCCAGCCACACUGGGACUGAGACACGGCCCAGACUCCUACGGGAGGCAGCAGUGGGGAAUUUUGGACAAUGGGCGCAAGCCUGAUCCAGCCAUGCCGCGUGAGUGAAGAAGGCCUUCGGGUUGUAAAGCUCUUUCAGCCGGGAAGAGAAGGUUGCGAUUAAUAAUCGCAAUUGAUGACGGUACCGGAAGAAGAAGCACCGGCUAACUACGUGCCAGCAGCCGCGGUAAUACGUAGGGUGCGAGCGUUAAUCGGAAUUACUGGGCGUAAAGCGUGCGCAGGCGGUUUUGUAAGUCAGAUGUGAAAUCCCCGGGCUUAACCUGGGAACU